CCGCUUCGUUCCGAUCCGUUCAUUUUCCUCCGCCACACUUUUUGUUCUCCAUUUCAACACGCUGCGCGUUGGAGAAGGGGGAUUUGCUGCGUUUAAGCCUCUCGUGUAAUUGCUGAACUUGUCCAGACCACGCGGUUUAUGAUCUCUGAACAUCGCCUUCAGAAAGUGGAUACCUGCAAGUUUCCUAAGGGGAUCAGCUGUUUUCUCGACUAAGCGCAGCCUGGUUGCUGUAUUAACGUUAAUUUAUUUACAAACUCAAUAUGGAGAAUGAUAACAAAUAUCUUCCUCAGCUGUUGGCAGAGAGAGACAGCCUGGAUGCAUCUUUCACACAUGCCAUGAAACUUUUGUCUGCAGAAAUUGAAAGAAUAGAGAAAGGCGAUACUGAAACCGAGGAGAAGCCAUCCGAAGCCUACUUGGACCUCUUCACGACCAAGAACAUCAAGCUGAAGGAGCGAGUCCUCAUACCCGUCAAACAGUACCCCAAGUUCAAUUUUGUGGGAAAGAUCCUUGGACCUCAGGGAAACACAAUAAAGCGUCUGCAGGAGGAGACGGGCGCCAAGAUUUCAGUCUUGGGGAAGGGAUCCAUGCGGGAUAAAACAAAGGAGGAGGGCCUGCGGAAGAGCGGCGAGCCCAAGUAUGCUCACCUGUCCAUGGAGCUGCACGUGUUCAUCGAGGUCUUCGCACCUGUGCCAGAGGCCUACCUGCGCAUGGCCCAUGCCAUGGAGGAGGUCAAGAAGUUCCUGUUCCCGGACAUGAUGGAUGAUAUUUGCCAGGAGCAGUUCAGGGAGAUGAACUACCUGAACGGUGCCCCAGAGCACCCCCCUCGGGGCCGUGGAGGCCCUCCAGUCAGAGGCCGAGGGGCGCCCCACCCGCCCUCCGCCACAUUAAGGGGUAGGGGCAUUCCACCGCGUGGAGGCGCUCCGCGUGGAGGACCCCCCAGAGGAGGUGCGGUGAGAGGGGCCCCAGCGGGCAGAGGGGGACCCCCGGCCCAACCCACCAGAGGAGCGGCUGCCACACGCGCACACCCGCCUGCGCCCGGACCCCCCCAGCGCAUGGCACCCCCGCCCCCACCUGCACAGGAAACGUAUGAUGAAUAUGCUUAUGACGAGAACUACACAGAACCAUCUUAUGAGUCAUAUGACAACUAUUACAAUCAGUCGCAGACAGAGCCAGAGUAUUAUGACUACGGACAUGGAGAGACGCAAGAAAGUUACGACUCAUACGCUCAGGACGACUGGAACGGAACUCAGCGCACGACAACCGGAGCCAAGGCCCCUCCUGCACGGCCAGCGAAAGGGACAUACCGGGAACACCGCUACGCGCCGUACUGAGCCCCUAAAGAGCAAGAACAGUCUCCCCUUCCUUAACGCGUCGCCAUGACAACUGUCUCCCAGGGCAGCUCACGCUUUAAAGCAACCCCAACAAAAGUAGUGUGAGUGGAUCACUGCAAAGGAUGAAGGCAUCUGAGGAGAACCAAAAAGGUUGAAGUCUUGGCUCAGGGAAGGCCUCCGCCAUGGUAAAGCCACAGGAGGAGCACGUGCAGAAUGAGCUGGAACACCAAGCCGAGUGGAUCCAGUCUAUUGUAAAAGGAAGAUGGGUAGACCUAGAGAGAGACGGUUUGAGCGAGGCACAGAGAGAGAGAGAGAGAAAAAGAGCGAUAGCGAGCCGCAGGGAAGCCCUUGUGUGGAUGGCUGGGAAUAAGUGUGUGUGUGUGGGGGUGCGUUGUUGUGACGGUGAUGCAUCCGCACUUCUCCUUCGGAGUGGAGAGGAAGAGAAAUCGAUGUGGUCUGCUGCAGGCCAAGCAGAAUAGGCUGGCAGAAAGCACUCGUCAGGCCAGAUCAAAAUAAAAGCCUCACUUCCCACGUGACGGGCCUGUCGAAUGGGGAAUGGGGGAGGGUGGGGUGGGCCUGGCAGCUGUCUGUGUUCUGAGGUUACUGCCUAAUGUGUUCGAGAAGAGCAGGAAUCAUUAUUCCACCCCAGAUCCCUCUUAGCUUCCUCUGUGUGUGUGUGUGUGUGUGUGUGUGUUUGUGUGUGUUUGUGUGUGUGUGUUUGUGCGCGCGCGCGAAUGCGUGUCCCUUGUGUCUCCACAGGAAAAGGGUCUCUGAAGCACACUUAAUGCUGUCUUGAAAAUGACCGCUCGCUAUCGCCACUACCGGCCUUAAAAUCGCUUCAUUUUAACAAGCACCCAAGACCCAUUCGCACUUCGCCUGCUGAUGCUCUGCUGCAUCCUGGGAUGCCACUGCGUUUUACUUAGUUUAGCCUCUGCACUAGUUUUAGUGUGUGUGUGUGUUUCCCCAACAGAGCAAGACCACUGUAUGCUCGAACCCCAUCAUCCGUGGUUGCAUGCACACAAACCUAAUAGAAUGAGUGCAGCGCUUCGAAGUGAAACGGCCCCAAAGAAAUGUCUUUGUAGCACUUCUGCUUCUUUGUCCAUGUGCCCUAAUUGCCAUGCUGAUGGUAGUCCUGCUCUUGUGAGCAGAAGAGGCGCUCAAGUCAAGUGAACAUGCCAUGGGAACCACCUUGGACAUAUCGCUGAGUUUGCAGAAAUUAAGUACUACCCCCCCCCACCCGUCUCUGCAAUUAAUAUGAGCCUCAGCUGCUCUUCAGCAGCCAACAGACAUGUUAUAAUUGUCUUUUCUUUUAUAUCAGAGGGGGUUAAGAUGCUAAUGUUGCUUCAGUGGGAAAAGAAACGUGUGUAGUCACUGUCUUCUCUCACUCCAGAGAUGGUGGAAACUGGAGCCUGCCUUGCACUUAUCAUUCCGUCACGCGUGCACACGCGUGCACACGCAUGUGCGCUCACUCACUUUCUCACCAUCGUAAAUUUAUUCAUUGGCAAAUUUCGCAGCUGCAGGACUCUGCAUCUGUGUCUGUGUUUCAAGCUUUUUCUAUAAAAGACUCGUCUCUCUCCCACACACACACACACACACACACACACACACACACACACACACACACACGGGUUGACUGCAAGCAUGCCAUUUCAACCAAUUACUGCUGAUGACAGUUCCUCUGUCCCCCUGAGCUAGUGCUGAUUGCUGACUGGCUAACAGGAGCCAGCGUUAUUACAUUAGACAGAAAUCACUUCUCACCGUCCACAGAUUUUAAUAAGCAUUAGCUACAGCUCAAGCUCCAUCGAACAAUUGGAAAAAAUUGUGGUGUGGUGGGGUGGGGUGGGGUGGGGGGAUACACUAUGUGCUGUGACAAGCUCUGCCAGCCUGUGACUGGGGGAGGGGAGCCACAUUAUAAUGAGAAAUCUCCAAAGUGUUUCAUGAAGGUUUUGGCAUUGGGGGGCAGAUGGGAGAUUUAUUUUUCUGUUUUUAAACCGAAAACCUGGCAACUUUUUGCAAAAAUGAGAAUUCUAUUCAAGCCUGACCGAUGGAGCUUAACAGAGCAGUUCUUUUUAUAGCACACACACACACACACACAGAUAUUCACAGAUAUUCACUCACUCCGAGUCGUAGCCUGAAGUGGGAAUGCACUGUGUGAUGGAAAAGUCUGACCCGUACCUUCAGGGCUUGAUCUUGUGGUACAUUGACUGCGGGAAGCGUGACAGACUGGUAUCACUGCUGGUCACUGCUGCCACCAACCACCGCUGCUCCCACUGCUGCUGGCUCUUGUAUGGGCAUGAUGCCUGGGUGGCCAACCGGCAGAGGCUGGAUAGGGUCAACCACAAACCUCACUCUGCCCUUCAGACGUCACAUCUCUUAUGUUCACGCAUGGGGACUGUUGAACAUGCCUUUUGUUUCUCUUUUCAUGACUUUCAUGCAUGAAUCCAUGCAGUAAAAUGUGCCUACUGACUGCAUGGCCUUUGUGCUUAUAUAAUAACUUGUCUUGCUAAGAGCAAACAGGGUUGCGCUGUCCAUUGGCCACUAACUCUGUCUGUGCAUGCUGCGUUUGACCUCUUGUCACUGCUCCCGCGUGUUCCUUCAGAGACCCACUUCCUCCUUGUCCUGUGUGACCAAACACUGCUGACCAAAAAGGACCCCUGCUCUUAUUCAGGAAUUUCAACCAGACUCCGACUCAUAUCCAUUUUGUUUACAGUUAAUAGUCAUGGUCCAGCGCAGUGUUUUUGGGCCGUUCAUGUAAGUCUGGUUGUUAGCUUGCUUAGAUCUCCCAAAGUUUGGAUUGCUGGAGAAUGACUUAUCAGUCUAGUUGCCCCAACCCCCCACCCCACCCCACACACAUGCACACUCUUUGACUUUUGUGUUUUGUCAUGUAAAUGAUCCAAAUGCUGCAUUCAUCUUUGCCUGAUUACAUGCUUGUGGAAAUGCACAUAUUUUGGCUAGAUUAUAUAUUUUUUUCCAGGGCAAAUGUUAGUGGAGCAAAUGUUCCAGCAAGUCAUAAAUAUACAUCAGGAGCUUUGAUCCAUAUUAUUUAAUGUUAAUGGAGGCGGCUUGUUUCUGUUUUUCAAGGUUUUAAAUGUAUGCAUCUUUUUCCAGCAAGGUACAGUUAACUAAAGUUUUGCUGUUUAAAUCCAGAGGUAUUAAUAUUCUUAAGAAAAUGUUGCUCUUAACUGUUCUUGGGAUUGCAGCCAAAAAUAAAGGUACUCAAGGUUUUUUACACCCUG
RNA transcript from Alosa alosa (allis shad), 4567 nucleotides. It is a transcript of the gene named KH domain containing, RNA binding, signal transduction associated 1b, with no coding region annotated. The record is from RefSeq and is a predicted model, not a curated record. NCBI's taxonomy places the organism in Eukaryota, Metazoa, Chordata, Actinopteri, Clupeiformes, Clupeidae. The transcript is spliced from 11 exons.